CCUACGGGAGGCAGCAGUGGGGAAUUUUGGACAAUGGGGGCAACCCUGAUCCAGCAAUGCCGCGUGUGUGAAGAAGGCCUUCGGGUUGUAAAGCACUUUAAGCGAGGAGGAGGCUACCGAGAUUAAUACUCUUGGAUAGUGGACGUUACUCGCAGAAUAAGCACCGGCUAACUCUGUGCCAGCAGCCGCGGUAAU
RNAcentral lists this ribosomal RNA (195 nucleotides) under uncultured bacterium. Its description in RNAcentral is "partial 16S ribosomal RNA". It matches the Rfam family "Bacterial small subunit ribosomal RNA", at positions 338 to 524 of the family's 1533-position model. The record is from RNAcentral.